Clupea harengus (Atlantic herring) is the source of this 1241-nucleotide long non-coding RNA. The record is from Ensembl. NCBI's taxonomy places the organism in Eukaryota, Metazoa, Chordata, Actinopteri, Clupeiformes, Clupeidae.
GAGUUCAACACCCCAUCAUUCCAUCAGAGGUGGCAGUUUUUCCCUUAUAACGGGACCCUGAUUAUAAACCCUGCUGAGAGGAGAGAUGCAGGAACAUACAGAGUGGAGAUCUCUGAAGAGUCAUCAGGGAAGGGAGUGGGAGGGCACACAGUACAGCUGAUCAUUGAAGCCCCUGUGUCUGAUGUGGACCUGUCAAUCAGCUGCUCAGCCAAUGAGGAGAGGGAGGUGAGGUGCUCCUCCCAAUGGGGACAGUCCUCAGUACAGCUGGUCUCUGGAUGGGAGGCCUCUGAGUGAAGCUGAUGCUGAUCUCAGUACAGAUCCUCAGACUCUCCUGCUGAGUGGGAAUGUGACUGGAGAACUCACCUGCAGCGUCUCAAACCACGUCAGCAGCACAAACACCUCAGCUCUGCUGCUGGAAGCCUGCUCUGGUACCUCCACUGUGUCUGUCCCACCAACUAACCAGACUAACACGACUCUUCUCUCUACCCACCCAGGUACCUCAGAGACGGUAAUAGUUAUUUGUGUGUUAUUAUCCCUGACUGUGUGUCUGUGUGUCGCUGUGGGGAUGUUCUACAUCAGAAUGAAAAAGAGGAACACACACACUCCAGUGAGUGAAAAGAAAGAGCCUGACGAUUUGGUGUACGUCCAGGUGACCACUAGUAGCAACGGCAGAAGACAAAUAUCAGACAUUCAAGGUACAAGAGUGGAAACAGAGGAUGUGGUGUAUUCUGGCGUUGCCAUGGCAAAUAGGAGCAGCAGGCAUAAAAGCAGGAAGCCACCAGCAGCUGAGGCGUAUGAGUUGGAGUAUGCUGAGGUGUCUGCCUUCAGUAAGCGAUGGGGCCCAACUGAGAGUCACAGGCCAGAGGAGUCGGUUGAGUACGGGGAAGUGAGAGUCCACACACCACACUGACUCACAGCAGGCAGACAGUGUGUAUGCUCAAAUGCACCUCGGACAGUGACGUGUGUGUGUGUGUGUGUGUGUGUGUGUGUGUGUGUGUGUGUGUGUGUGUGUGUGUGUGUGUGUGUGUGUGUGUGUGUGUGUGUGUGUGUGUGUGUGUGUGUGUGUGUGUGUGUGUGAACCUGUGGAGGCAUGUAGCAGAGUGUGUGUCUGUUCCUCAUAGCAGGUUAAUGUGGAGGUUAAAUACCUGACCACAGCAGACACAACUAACCAAGGGUACUAUAAUGGUGGAAUUAUGUGGUUAAUUAGGUUACUAUCAUGAUGAAAUUAUGUAGUUAAUCAG